AACGACGACAACGACAACAACAACAACAACAAAAACGUUACUGGAUUGCCACCAAGUUCACUGACAGUGGAACUGGACUGCUUUCUCUGACUUGUAAAAUGAAAAAUGGAGAAUUAUUCUGGCCCCAUCCCUGGUUAGAUAUAAUUACAUGAAGUGACAAAGGGGCCCAGCUUACUUAUCGAGCACUGCUGCUAUGCAAACAAUGCUUUCUGGGUUCCAGAAUGGCAACCGAGGAGCUGUAGGAACUCUGCAGGUGAGGCUUUGGUGUGGUCCAUUGGCUGAGGAAACCACAGUCAGAAAUGCACGGUGUUCUUGCUGAAGUCCCCCACACUGCUUCCAGUCCAGUGAGGUCAGCUCUCUGCUGCCACAGGCCCCCACUGCAUGUGGGAUUCGACACAUUAACUGAGGAUCACUUUUAAUUUCCCUUGUUACCUACACCACAUAGGGUAAGGCACCUGUCUCCCUCAGUGGCUCCUGAUUGUCAUCUUCCUUUAAAAAGCAGAUUUUUACUUAGGUGGUUUUUGACUAUUUGUGAAUGGAAAAAAGAAUUAUUUGCAUUCCUAGUGAGAUAAAUUCCAGAAGCAAAACUGAAUAAACAUUAGGAAGUGCAAUGUUUUGAAGGUUAA
RNAcentral lists this small RNA (626 nucleotides) under Rattus norvegicus (Norway rat). RNAcentral's name for it is "uncharacterized LOC102555390". Lineage: Eukaryota; Metazoa; Chordata; Mammalia; Rodentia; Muridae. The record is from RNAcentral.